AAUUUUGGACAAUGGGGGAAACCCUGAUCCAGCCAUCCCGCGUGUAUGAUGAAGGCCUUCGGGUUGUAAAGUACUUUUGGCAGAGAAGAAAAGGUACCUCCUAAUACGAGGUACUGCUGACGGUAUCUGCAGAAUAAGCACAGGCUAACUACGUGCCAGCAGCCGCGGUAAUACGUAGGGUGCAAGCGUUAAUCGGAAUUACUGGGCGUAAAGCGUGUGUGGGCGGUUCGGAAAGCAAGAUGUGACAUCCCUGCGCUCUAAGUUGGAACGGCGUUUUUAACUGCCCAGCUGAAGUAUGUCAGGGCGGGGUAGAAUUCCACGUGUAGCAAUGAAAUGCGUAGAUAUGUGGAGGACUACCGAUGGCAAAGGCAGCCCCCUGAGAUACUACUGACGCUCAGACACGAAAGCGUGGGGAGCAAACA
This 422-nucleotide ribosomal RNA is filed under the name uncultured bacterium. RNAcentral describes it as "partial 16S ribosomal RNA". It matches the Rfam family "Bacterial small subunit ribosomal RNA", at positions 360 to 774 of the family's 1533-position model. The record is from RNAcentral.